CCUACGGGUGGCUGCAGUGGGGAAUAUUGCACAAUGGGGGAAACCCUGAUGCAGCGACGCCGCGUGAGUGAAGAAGUAUCUCGGUACGUAAAGCUCUAUCAGCAGGGAAGAAACUGACGGUACCUGACUAAGAAGCCCCGGCUAACUACGUGCCAGCAGCCGCGGUAAAACGUAGGGGGCAAGCGUUAUCCGGAUUUACUGGGUGUAAAGGGAGCGUAGACGGCAGCACAAGUCUGGAGUGAAAUCCCGGGGCUUAACCCCGGAACUGCAUUGGAAACUGUGCGGCUGGAGUGCAGGAGGGGUAGGCGGAAUUCCUAGUGUAGCGGUGAAAUGCGUAGAUAUUAGGAGGAACACCGGUGGCGAAGGCGGCUUACUGGACUGUAACUGACGUUGAGGCUCGAAAGCGUGGGGAGCAAACAGGAUUAGAUACCCCUGUAGUC
This 440-nucleotide ribosomal RNA is filed under the name uncultured bacterium. RNAcentral describes it as "partial 16S ribosomal RNA". It matches the Rfam family "Bacterial small subunit ribosomal RNA", at positions 338 to 795 of the family's 1533-position model. The record is from RNAcentral.